AUGAUUCCCCUAGUAACGGCGAGUGAAGAGGGAAAAGCUCAAGUUUGGAAGCUUCGUGGCAUAGCUACGACGCAUUGUAAACUGAAGUUUUUGUGGCAACUGGACAACCGGGUUAAUAAGUCCCUUGGAAUGGGGCAACAUGGAGGGUGAUAUUCCCGUCUUUGGCUUGAGUUUGUGCAGUUAUUACCAUGGAAACGACGAGUCAGGUUGUUUGGGAAUGCAGCCUAAAAUGGGAGGUAAAUCUCUCCUAAAGCUAAAUAUUGGUGCAAGACCGAUAGCGAACAAGUACCGUGAGGGAAAGAUGAAAAGGACUUUGAAAAGAGGGUCAAAAAGUACGUGAAAUUGUUGAAAGGGAACCGUAUAAAAGUAGACCGGCAUUGUGAUGAUCAAUGGGAGCUUCGGUUUUCAUGCACUCAUCACGAUUGCCAGCCAGCAGCAGUUUUUUUCAAAGGAAGAAAACCGGGGGAAUGUAGCCUUGGCCUUCGGGCGGAGGUGUUAUAGCCCUCGGUAAAAAACUUUGGGGGAGACUGAGGCUUGCAGUGGGUUUCUGGGAAAGCUAGUUGCUUGCGAUGUUGUUGUAAAGUUUCUUUCGGGUGCUUUGCAGCAGCGUUGUAACUCUUCUGGUUCUUCACCCUCUCACUUUGGUUGCUGGCGUA
RNAcentral lists this ribosomal RNA (656 nucleotides) under Hesseltinella vesiculosa. RNAcentral's name for it is "eukaryotic LSU rRNA". It matches the Rfam family "Eukaryotic large subunit ribosomal RNA", at positions 71 to 633 of the family's 3401-position model. The record is from RNAcentral. Lineage: Eukaryota; Fungi; Mucoromycota; Mucoromycetes; Mucorales; Cunninghamellaceae.